UACGAAGGGAGCGAGCGUUGUUCGGAAUCACUGGGCUUAAAGCGUGCGUAGGCGGAUGUGUAAGUAAGAAGUGAAAUCCCAGGGCUUAACCCUGGAACUGCUUUUUAGACUGCACGUCUGGAAUUCGGUAGAGGCUAGUGGAACUCCUAGUGUAGAGGUGAAAUUCGCAGAUAUUAGGAAGAACACCGGUGGCGAAGGCGACUAGCUGGACCGACAUUGACGCUGAGGCACGAAAGCGUGGGUAGCAAACAGGAUUAGAUACCCUGGUAGUCCACGCUGUAAACCAUGUAUGCUAGCUGUUGGAGUCCUUAGGGCUUCGGCGGCGGAGAGAAAUCAUUAAGCAUACCGCCUGGGGAGUACGGUCGCAAGAUUAAA
RNAcentral lists this ribosomal RNA (375 nucleotides) under uncultured bacterium. RNAcentral's name for it is "bacterial SSU rRNA". It matches the Rfam family "Bacterial small subunit ribosomal RNA", at positions 524 to 898 of the family's 1533-position model. The record is from RNAcentral.